GAUACAUCUCUUGCUGUGAGUGUCAUCAAUCGAAUCCAGACUGGGAGCACUGAAUAUCUAUGAAGAAUAUCCUUAUAUACUUGAGAAAGACUAAGGAUAUGCUCUUGAUCUUUGGAGGAGAAGAAUUUAGGGUUUUGGGGUACACAGAUUGAUAAUAGAAGAUCUACAUCAGGAUGUGUAUUCCUAUGUUAUGAUGGUACAGUAUAUUGGAAGAUUUCCAAACAACCAUUCAUUGUAGAUUCCAUCAUGGAGGCAGAGUUCAUCGCCGCUUCCGAGGGUGCUUAGGAAGAAUUCUAAUUCAUGAAAUUUGUUGCGGAGCUUGGAAUGAUGACAUAAGAUAUCAUAUCACUUUAUUGCGACAACAUUGGUACCAUGGCUCUGGCUAAAAAAUCAAGAUCUCAUCAGAAAUCUAAACACAGAGCGACGAUUCCAUCUGAUUUGUGAAUACCUCGAAAAGAAGUUCAUCGAGGUGCAAAAAGUAGACUUCACGGAGAAUAUGGUAGACCCACUAAGCUGUUGAGCCAACUGAAAACUGAAGCUCAUCUUGAAAAGAUGGGGUUUAGGUUUAUGAUCAAUUGGCUUUAAUGCAAGUAGAAGAUUAUUAGAUGUAUACUCUAAAAGUCAAGUUGGCUGAUACAUUAUCUUUCUAGUGGCAUAAUUUUAUAAUUAAAUAAUUAAAAUAGGAUUAAUUUUUUAUUCAUGUUAUCAUAUAUCCAUGAAUCGUCUAAAGAAUUAAUAAGAUGAUGACAUAUAUUCUCAAGAAUUGAAAUUUUGAUACAUAUAUCAUUGGUGAUUAAUUCUAAAUGCUCACAAUCAAUGGAUCAUCACGAAAAUGAUGAUUAAUCCGAUUAGAUUGAUGCACGGAUCAUUUUUCUCUGAAUAGAUGAGUCUCGAGUCCACAGUGUGAGGAUACUGGAGCGAGAGUGCAAGUGAUUGUUAGAGAACAAUGAUACCGAGCAUGACCAACACGAGUAGUCACAUGGAUGUCUAUCCACUCGUCAGUAACAUACUCGAUGCUACAGUGGUGUGAGUAAUCAUUAAACCUGUGGUGCCUCAGCUAUUCACAAUGAGGCUGCUGUAGUUUGACUACAUAAUCACUUGGUUACCUAGCCAUUCAAAAUCUUACGAUGUAUGUUGGCCACAGUAGAUUCGUUGUAGGAGUAGAGUGUGCACCUAAAUGGGAUCUAUUGACCUUGAUAGAUAAGAAAUAGUCCCAUGUUAUUCAUGAGACUGAGUUCAAAAAUUCAUAACCAUGAUAGUGUGAAUGAUGGAAAGGAGUUUUCAUAAGGCUUCACAUAAAACUCAAAUCGAUUGAAUGUUACAUAUGAUAAGCAAUGAUGUUUGACGAGUUAUCCGUAACCUCUAUCUUGUCAGAACUCAUGAUAGAAGAAUCGAAUCACACGAUAAAUAUACCUAAAGGUUCAUUAUUCAAUUCUGCUGGAUUACUACUACAUACUGCUAGGUGUCACUGGUGGACUGUGAGACCAAUAAAAAUUAUUUUGAUGAUCAAUAAUUUUUAAUUGAUUGAAUUGAAAUUAUUCCAAUCUACUGAAAGAUAUUUCAAUGAUAUUGAUGAUGAAGAUCACAAUAUAUCUCACUACCAGACAGAAUUGAACCUAUGAGAUUACACAAACAAGAGAUUUGAUCUAUGAUUGAUCAAUUGGACUUGUAAAAUCCCAAUUGAAUUUGAAUUUGGUGAAAUCCAAUUAAAUUUAGUAAAUCAUGCUAGCACAUAGUUAAACCCAAUUCCUCUUUAGACUUAGACUCCCUAUUGGAUAGGAAUUUUGACCAAGUCAUUGCAUGCAAUUAGGAUGAGGAUAAGGACCAAGAGUUGGCCUUAUCUUAUCUUUCUCUGGGCAUGGAUUUCUUGGAGAGAAGGCCCAUCUAGAUAAUGACUAUGAGGUGGCGCUAGGGUUUUGGAAAGGAGGCACAUGCCUUCUUUUUGGAUAAGAUCCAAAAAGGGGCAUGCGUUUUGUUCUUGGUGUGAAACAAAUGAGAGGGGCCACACCCCAUCUAAUCUGGCAAGAAAUCUCAUGAUUUCAAGGUGCCAAAUUAGAGAAAUAGAGUCAUUCUACCUUAAGGAUUUGACUGAUCAAAUUCUUGAAGCCCUAGGACUCUUCUUUGUUUUAUUUAAGAGAUGAGAUCUCUUAAAAAAAAUGUAACCCACAUUAGGAAGAAUUCUCCCAUGCCAUGAGAUGAUAUCUCCCACCUCUCCAUGCCCUUCUUCUCUCUUUCUCUCUUUCUCUUUCUCUCACAUCCAUGUAGUUGGGCAUCCCUGGUUCUUAUGCCCAAGAGCUGGGCAUCCUCUCUUCCACAUCCAAGGGUUUGGGGCUGAUCUACAUGUUGAUGUAGAUCUACACCUAGGAAGAGAAGAUCCAGAUUUACAUAAGAAAAGAGAGAAAUCAGAUCUAGGAUCAAGUGUUGAUCCAAAGAUCUAGGAUCAAGAGUUGAUCCAAAGAUCUAGGAUCAAGAGUUGAUCCAAUAAUCCAGGAUCAAGAGUUGAUCC
This 2506-nucleotide long non-coding RNA is filed under the name Elaeis guineensis (African oil palm). Its description in RNAcentral is "long non-coding RNA (EGUI_LNC043747)". Lineage: Eukaryota; Viridiplantae; Streptophyta; Magnoliopsida; Arecales; Arecaceae. The record is from RNAcentral.